RNAcentral lists this ribosomal RNA (966 nucleotides) under Triticum aestivum (bread wheat). RNAcentral's name for it is "partial small subunit ribosomal RNA". Lineage: Eukaryota; Viridiplantae; Streptophyta; Magnoliopsida; Poales; Poaceae. The record is from RNAcentral.
AUGUCCACCCCAGCUGCUCGAUCUCGCCCAUCGGAGGACGGACUCAUCAGGUCCUCCUCUUCGCCUCCCAGCGGCAGCGAGACGGCGGCCGAGAGACUCACCGACGACCUCCUCGUCGAGAUCCUCUCGCGCGUGCCCGCCAAGUCGCUCUGCCGCUUCAAGUGCGUCUCCAAGCACUGGCUCGGCCUCACCAACGACCGCAACUACCGCCGGAAGCUCCCCCAGACCCUCACCGGCUUCUACCAGGGGAAUCAAUUGGUGGAUUCAGGUGUUCCUUUCACCAAUGUCUCGGGGAGCCGCCAUCUCACACAUCCCGCCUUCCUGCCCAACCGCCGGCAGGUCAAGAUCAUGGACUGCUGUAACGGCCUCCUUCUCUGCUCCUCAUACGUUGCCGGCGACCAUGGCGACGUGUUCCGGUACAUUGUGUGCAAUCCCGCCACAGAGGAAUGGGCUGAGUUCCCGUACUGCGGCUAUUCCGGCCUGGUGGCUAACGCACGCUUGUGUUUUGAUCCAGCCGUGUCCCCUCAUUUCCAUGUGUUUUUGUUGCCGGUGGUGGAUAUCUGCAUUACCGGAGUGCAUGUCUAUUCAUCUGAAACCGGGAGUUGGGUUCAUAAGGAGAAGAGAUGGAGCGGCACUAUUGAUGUCGCUAAUGAUCGGUCAACUGUUUAUCUUAAUGGUUAUCUGCAUUUCUGCGCCAUUGUUGAUGGUUCUGACGGUCGUCUAGCUGCAGUGGACAAGGAGGGGGGAGCAAGGACUAACUUCCGUGUUCCUGAUGGUCUGGAUGUUGGUUUUAUUCAGCUGUCACAGGGCUGCCUGCAUUAUGCUGGUUUUGACACAGAUGAUGAUAAUGUUGUUCGACUGCUAGUUUAUGUUCUUAAAGACUAUGACCGCAGAGAAUGGAUACUGAAGCAUAGCGUCGAAACUUCGCAUUUGCUUGGAGGGCGGGCGACACAUAGAAUACCUUGA